This is a long non-coding RNA of Gopherus flavomarginatus (Mexican gopher tortoise), 459 nucleotides long. RefSeq lists it as uncharacterized. The record is from RefSeq and is a predicted model, not a curated record. Lineage: Eukaryota; Metazoa; Chordata; Testudines; Testudinidae. The transcript is spliced from 2 exons.
CAGUUUGUGGCUUGCAUCAUAAGCAAGAAACCAUUAAGGUGCUAUUAAGAGUCUUUUGUCACACAAUAGCACUCCCAUUGAGAGUCAUUACCAGCACUAUAUAUAUGCAAAUAAAGUGGUUUUUCUAGUUUACGCUAGAGGAAGAAAAGGAAAAAAGCACUGUUGCUAGGCAGACUCCAGGAGGCAACAGAGCCUGCAGUUCAGAAGAUAAACACCGGAGGGCACCCCAACACAAGAAAACAGGAAUCAUGACUUCUAAGGCAAAAAUUGAGGCCGAAGAGCAAUUCAAAGAAGCUGAACACAGGCGACAAAUGGAGAUGAAAGAAAGAGAAGAACAAAUCAAACAGGCAGCACACAAAAGAAAACUAGAAGAAGAAGAGUUGGCCCACAGAAGGAAGCAAGAAGAAGAAGAGUUGGCCCACCGCCGAGAAAUGGAAAAACAACAAAAAAAAAUGAAGA